GACGAACGCUGGCGGCGUGCUUAACACAUGCAAGUCGAACGGAAAGGCCCUGCUUUUGUGGGGUGCUCGAGUGGCGAACGGGUGAGUAACACGUGAGUAGCCUGCCCUUGACUUUGGGAUAACUUCAGGAAACUGGGGCUAAUACCGGAUAGGAGCUCCUGCUGCAUGGUGGGGGUUGGAAAGUUUCGGCGGUUGGGGAUGGGCUCGCGGGUUAUCAGCUUGUUGGUGGGGUAGUGGCUUACCAAGGCUUUGGCGGGUAGCCGGCCUGAGAGGGUGACCGGCCACAUUGGGACUACGGUACGGCCCAGACGCCAACGGGAGGCAGCAGGGGGGAAUAUUACACAGUGGGCGGAAGCCUGAUGCAGCAACGCCGCGUGCGGGAUGACGUCCUUCGGGUUGUAAACCGCUUUCGCCUGUGACGAAGCGUGAGUGACGGUAAUGGGUAAAGAAGCACCGGCUAACUACGUG
RNAcentral lists this ribosomal RNA (468 nucleotides) under uncultured bacterium. Its description in RNAcentral is "partial 16S ribosomal RNA". It matches the Rfam family "Bacterial small subunit ribosomal RNA", at positions 28 to 507 of the family's 1533-position model. The record is from RNAcentral.